Molecule: ribosomal RNA, 497 nt
Filed under: uncultured bacterium
Lineage: Bacteria
Description: partial 16S ribosomal RNA
Rfam family: Bacterial small subunit ribosomal RNA
Source: RNAcentral
GAUGAACGCUGGCGGCGUGCCUAAUACAUGCAAGUCGAGCGAACAGACGAGGAGUUUGCUCCUCUGACGUUAGCGGCGGACGUGUGAGUCACACGUGUAUAACCUACCUAUAAUACUGAUAUAACUUCGGGAAACCGGAUCUAAUACCAUAUAAUAUAUUUAACCGCAUGGUUCAAUAGUGAAAGUCGGUUUUGCUGGCACUCAUAGACGGAUCCGCGCCUCAUUAGCUAGUUGGUAAGUUAACGGCUUACCAAGGCAACGAUGCGUAGCCGAUCUGAGAGGGUGAUCGGCCACACUGGAACUGAGACACGGUCCAGACUCCUACGGGAGGCAGCAGUAGGGAAUCUUCCGCAAUGGGCGAAAGCCUGACGGAGCAACGACGCGUGAGUGAUGAAGGUCUUCGGAUCGUAAAACUCUUUUAUUAGGGAAGAACCAAUGUGUAAGUAACUAUGCACGUCUUGACGGUACCUAAUCAGAAAGCCACGGCUAACUACGUG